UACGUAGGGUGCAAGCGUUGUCCGGAAUUAUUGGGCGUAAAGAGCUUGUAGGCGGUUUGUCGCGUCUGCUGUGAAAUUUCGGGGCUCAACCCCGAACUUGCAGUGGGUACGGGCAGACUAGAGUGUGGUAGGGGAGACUGGAAUUCCUGGUGUAGCGGUGAAAUGCGCAGAUAUCAGGAGGAACACCGGUGGCGAAGGCGGAUCUCUGGGCCAUUACUGACGCUGAGGAGCGAAAGCGUGGGGAGCGAACAGG
Molecule: ribosomal RNA, 253 nt
Filed under: uncultured bacterium
Lineage: Bacteria
Description: partial 16S ribosomal RNA
Rfam family: Bacterial small subunit ribosomal RNA
Source: RNAcentral